Podarcis raffonei (Aeolian wall lizard) is the source of this 1095-nucleotide long non-coding RNA. RefSeq lists it as uncharacterized. The record is from RefSeq and is a predicted model, not a curated record. The transcript has 4 exons. NCBI's taxonomy places the organism in Eukaryota, Metazoa, Chordata, Lepidosauria, Squamata, Lacertidae.
AAUUUUGCUUCUUAGGGGUUCUGGAGUGGGAUGUUCUCACACAUGCUCCGUGGCAGAGCAAGUACUUUGCUUGCAGGAGAUGCUGGGUUCAGUUCCUGGCACCUCCAGGCAGGGCUAGGAAAGAUUCCCUGUCUGAAAUCCUGGAGAGAUGCUGCCAGCCAGUAUAGGCAGGACUGAGCAAGAUGCACCAACCGUCUGAUUCAGUAUCAGGCAGCUUCCCACGUUCCUAUGACAGUCUUUACUUCUGGGAAAUGCAUCAUAUUGCAAGAACAACACCUAGCGGCGACAUUUCCCCUCGGCUCCCAGGCCGGCCCCCAAUGAUUUAACAGUGGGCUGGGUUCUGGCAUCCGGAGCUACUGCGAAACAAUUCAAAUUUUGCUUCAGGUGCUUGUUUGUUUGUGGAGAGAGGGGUGCCAUUUUAGUCAGGGACUUGGGGCCAUGGUUUGGCGGUGAGCUGAAUCCCAAGCAAAAACAGCAUCCCUGAGGAGUCAAGUCUUUCCUCUCUUCUGGCGCAGUAUCCUGUGCAUAGCUUUCCCCCUUUCCCAUGCUUGGAGUGGGAGAUCAAACAGCUCCACAUCUCUCCUCACCUCCUUUUCCUUGCCCCCAGAGAAGGACAUAGCAGCUUCUCAGCUGCAGAAGCCCAUCCUUGCCAUGGUUAGGCCACAGUUCAAGGCACUCUGCAACCCUUCACCACAAGCAGACGCCAUUUUGAAUGCCAUGAGGGGCUGCGGCCUUCUUUGACCACAGUUUCACAGCCACUAGGUCCAUUGCUUUUCCAGCAGCCACCAACUGGCAAAUAAGUGCAAACCAAGAGCUCCAAGUACCUGUGUACACCUUACAGACAGAGGGAAAGCCAGUUGGACACCUGCUCCAAAAUGAGGCUUCUUCAUUCACUUCUGCUACUACAGAAGUAGUGUCUGCUAAAGAGAUACUAAUUAGAUCUUCCUGAUCUGUGAGCUGAUUCUUCAUAUUUUGGGUCUAUUCUGGAGGGUUAUUUUAAGGGUAAAAGGGAGACCACAUCCUGAAGUGCACAGAGGAAGAGGACAAUAAAGAUGCUUUAAACAAUCCAUUUUCAUGUUGCUGUAGUUGCUUCUG